RNAcentral lists this ribosomal RNA (441 nucleotides) under uncultured bacterium. RNAcentral describes it as "bacterial SSU rRNA". It matches the Rfam family "Bacterial small subunit ribosomal RNA", at positions 354 to 796 of the family's 1533-position model. The record is from RNAcentral.
GUGGGGAAUAUUGCGCAAUGGGCGAAAGCCUGACGCAGCAACGCCGCGUGGGUGACGAAGGCCUUCGGGUCGUAAAGCCCUGUCAGGUGGGAAGAAACCUGUCCUCGAGACAGCUGACGGUACCACCGAAGGAAGCACCGGCUAACUCCGUGCCAGCAGCCGCGGUAAUACGGAGGGUGCAAGCGUUGUUCGGAAUCACUGGGCGUAAAGGGCGCGUAGGCGGCCAAUCGGGUCUGAUGUGAAAGCCCGGGGCUCAACCCCGGAAGUGCAUUGGAAACUGAUUGGCUUGAGUCCGGAAGAGGAGGGCAGAAUUCCCGGUGUAGGGGUGAAAUCCGUAGAGAUCGGGAGGAAAACCAGUGGCGAAGGCGGCCCUCUGGGACGUGACUGACGCUGAGGCGCGAAAGCGUGGGGAGCAAACAGGAUUAGAAACCCUGGUAGUCC